Molecule: ribosomal RNA, 253 nt
Filed under: uncultured bacterium
Lineage: Bacteria
Description: partial 16S ribosomal RNA
Rfam family: Bacterial small subunit ribosomal RNA
Source: RNAcentral
UACGGGGGGGGCAAGCGUUGUUCGGAAUUACUGGGCGUAAAGGGCUCGUAGGCGGCCAACUAAGUCGGAUGUGAAAUCCCCAGGCUUAACCUGGGAACUGCAUCCGAUACUGGAUGGCUUGAAUUCGGGAGAGGGAUGCAGAAUUCCAGGUGUAGCGGUGAAAUGCGUAGAUAUCGGGAAGAACAUCAGUGGCGAAGGCGGUCUGCUGGGCCGUUGCUGACGCUGAGGCGCGACAGCGUGGGGAGCAAACAGG